This 910-nucleotide long non-coding RNA is filed under the name Panax ginseng (ginseng). RNAcentral describes it as "long non-coding RNA (PGIN_LNC003038)". The record is from RNAcentral. Lineage: Eukaryota; Viridiplantae; Streptophyta; Magnoliopsida; Apiales; Araliaceae.
CUUCCUUCAAUUGGGCUCAAAAUUGGGCCAUCACUUAUAAUCUUUUGGGAUUUCCUUUAAUGCUUAAUUGAUUUACUAAUUGUCCAACAUAUCCCUCCCACUUGGGCUAAAAGUUGGGCCACUCAAUUAAUGUAUUGGUUGGGCCUCUAAUCAAUUUCAUUGGGCCAACACUUGGGCUAUAAAAUAUACAUAGUCCAAUACCUUAAAUUAUUAUCCAACCCAAAUAAUUUAAUUAGGGUUUUCUCUUCUUAUUUAAAACACAAAUUCUUAUUCAUGCACAUUUAUUUCCUUAACCCAAUUAGACUUGCUAUAAUGAGGUUAUAAAAUUAAUUAAUCGAGAUAUAUAAAAUAAAUCUCUUAGAAUUAGUAUAUAUCUAAAUACUAUUAUUUCUCCCAACUCAUAACUCUUAAGUUAUUCAAUCAUUCAUUCUUAAUAUAUAAUUAGGAUUACAUUAGUUUAUUUUAUUUGUUUAUAUAAUAAACAAACAAACACAUAAUAUUCAUAUUCGUUACACACAUAACUUUUAAUCCCUUAGGGUUUUAUACAAAACAUUAGGAUUUCUAAUUUAACAAUUAGGGUUAUCCCUAAUAUAUAAUCACAAAUACUUAAGCCAUUAUAUUUAGCCUUUGACUUCCCAAAUUAGGGUUUCAAAUACCGAAUUAGGGUUUCGGAUUCCCGGUACUGAAAUUAGGAUUUCCAGAACCGAUUUCUAAGGUUUUUUAUAAAUCGUAAUAAUUUUAUAACUGAACGUUGACGUUCUAAAUAAUAUUAGGGUUUGACACAGAUAUAAUUUAUAUGGUCAACACUUGACCCUUAUCCACAUUCUGUACACAUAAUACCGUAAUCACAGAAUAUAUACUCUUAUACCCUUAAUCCUGAAUAAUUCAUUAAAAGAAAUUUUAAAUCCUC